RNAcentral lists this ribosomal RNA (549 nucleotides) under uncultured bacterium. RNAcentral describes it as "partial 16S ribosomal RNA". It matches the Rfam family "Bacterial small subunit ribosomal RNA", at positions 355 to 895 of the family's 1533-position model. The record is from RNAcentral.
UGGGGAAUAUUGGACAAUGGGCGCAAGCCUGAUCCAGCAAUGCCGCGUGUGUGAAGAAGGCCUUCGGGUUGUAAAGCACUUUUAUCAGGAGCGAAACGCUGUCGGCUAAUACCCGGCGGAACUGACGGUACCUGAGGAAUAAGCACCGGCUAACUUCGUGCCAGCAGCCGCGGUAAUACGAAGGGUGCAAGCGUUAAUCGGAAUUACUGGGCGUAAAGCGUGCGUAGGCGGUUUCUUAAGUCUGCUGUGAAAUCCCCGGGCUCAACCUGGGAAUGGCAGUGGAUACUGGGAGGCUAGAGUGUGUCAGAGGGUGGUGGAAUUCCCGGUGUAGCGGUGAAAUGCGUAGAGAUCGGGAGGAACAUCAGUGGCGAAGGCGGCCACCUGGGACAACAUUGACGCUGAGGCACGAAAGCGUGGGGAGCAAACAGGAUUAGAUACCCUGGUAGUCCACGCCCUAAACGAUGCGAACUGGAUGUUGGUCUCAACUCGGAGAUCAGUGUCGAAGCUAACGCGUUAAGUUCGCCGCCUGGGGAGUACGGUCGCAAGACU